GGAGGAUUGCUUGAGCCCAGGAGGUCAAGACUGCAGUGAGCUGUGAUCAUACCACUGCACUCCAGCCUGGGUGACAGAGCAAGACUCUGUCUCA
Molecule: microRNA precursor, 94 nt
Filed under: Mandrillus leucophaeus (drill)
Lineage: Eukaryota; Metazoa; Chordata; Mammalia; Primates; Cercopithecidae
Description: miRNA (ENSMLEG00000008308.1)
Source: RNAcentral